AGUGAACGCUGGCGGCAGGCCUAACACAUGCAAGUCGAGCGGCAGCGGGUCCCCGCGAGGGGAUGCCGGCGAGCGGCGGACGGGUGAGGAACACAUCGGAAUCUGCCUGGUUGUGGGGGAUAACGUAGGGAAACUUACGCUAAUACCGCAUGAGACCCCGAGUCGACGGACUGGGGGUGAAAGUGAGGGACCUUCGGGCCUCACGCGACCAGAUGAGCCGAUGUCGGAUUAGCAGUUGGCGGGGUAACGGCCCGCCAAGGCGACGAUCCGUAGCUGGUCUGAGAGGAUGAUCAGCCACACUGGGACUGAGACACGGCCCAGACUCCUACGGGAGGCAGCAGUGGGGAAUCUUGGACAAUGGGCGCAAAGCCUGAUCCAGCCAUGCCGCGU
This 390-nucleotide ribosomal RNA is filed under the name uncultured bacterium. RNAcentral describes it as "bacterial SSU rRNA". It matches the Rfam family "Bacterial small subunit ribosomal RNA", at positions 30 to 402 of the family's 1533-position model. The record is from RNAcentral.